This is a long non-coding RNA of Drosophila persimilis, 343 nucleotides long. RefSeq lists it as uncharacterized. The transcript is spliced from 2 exons. Lineage: Eukaryota; Metazoa; Arthropoda; Insecta; Diptera; Drosophilidae. The record is from RefSeq and is a predicted model, not a curated record.
UAUACACAUAGACUAUUUUUGAUCCCCUAUCCACUAUGUGGGAGGGAUCGGGACCAUUUCCCUAAGCUCUAUCUCGAUCUUAUUGCCCGUCUGUUCAAACAAUAGCUGUUCAUCGGAAAAAUUACGCUGCACUUCUUCCAUCACAGCAUCCGAGAUGGACAGCGUUCGAGACCGAGAUGGUAGCUUCUUCCGACCAAUCACUUGAACUGAAAGAUUUCGAAAUUUAUUGUUUUCAUAGCCCAACAAUGAGUCCAGAACGUGCUGCUUUGUGAGACUAUUCAGCGUUUGUAAUUGCUCUUCCUUGCGAUUAAAGAAGUACUCAGUAGCUACGAUCUCACUCCAA